AGCUGAGGAGGCCACAUCACAUGAGGAAGCUUUACUGUUUCCCCUUCUCCUGAAAUGUGUCUGGGAUGGAGAGUGUGGAGAGUGGGCCCACCUUUAUCUGGGUCCACUCAGGCUGCUGCAGAGACUACCCCAGACUGGGUGGCUGAUAGACAAGACAUUCAUUUUCCACACUUCCUGAGACUGAGAAGUCUGAGUUGAAGAAACCUGGAAGCAAGGAAGCCGCCACCAUGAUGCAGCGGGGAGUCCGAGGCCCUGGGAGGUCAUAUGACUCAUUCACGGUCAUCCUGCUGUGGCAGAGAUGCGAUGAAGCCCUGGCUUUGACCCCAACCCCAGGUGCCAGAGUCUUCCCUGCCCUGUACAGCCCUGCUCAUGCCAUGGUCUCCUGUGGACGUUCCCUCCUUCCCACGUUGGCGGUAUUGCUGUCCAAGCUUUGCAGGGGAGGAAUCUGAGGAAUUGAGAAGUCAAGUAACACACCCAAUAGGAUAACUAGGCCUUCUUGGCAGCCAACCUCGAAGCACCACAUCGGGCUUUGAAAUGUGCGGGGCCUUUGAGAUUCAGCGCAUCUGAAUCUGAAUUUAUGCCCUCUCACUUGCUGGAAUCUACUGAUCUGUCCACUGUUCCUGGAAGAAAUACUUUGUUUUCAUGUGCCAGUUGCCUUUCCAGCCUGACUGUCAGCCCAAGGUCGCAGGAGAAGAUCUGAUUGCAUGUCCUUGCUUUUGCUGCUCCCAUUCCAAGAACCAGCUUCCUCCUCUGGAAGGUCGACUGAGGGGGGCUUGACUGGACUUGGCUCAAGGCUGCAAGUGGUCCAGGUCUGCUCUGUGUGUCUUUCAUCCUCCCCAACCAGUUAGAAAACGUGAUAUCCUCUUCUACGAUGAUGAUGGAAAUACAAAAUUGGACCCACUGGGCCGCUCCAGGUGUUUCCUUGCCUCCUCUUCUGAAAAUUCGGGACUGCCAUACAGACACCUCCCGGCUCUUCUGUGUGGUCAGGCGGCAAAAGAAAGCAUCAUCGGAGCCCAGCAUGGGAGGAGGAGAGAGGCUUUGCUUCAUGAAAGCCUGAACAGCAUCCAACCGAAACCAGCCACCGCCGCCGCGCCCUGACGUGGUACUCUGCAGUUUUCAGAGUGCAUCGCAUCCAUUAUCUCCCCUGACCCACAGACAGGCCGGCGAAGAAGGCUGAUAUGAGGUCACCCAGCCCCCUUCACAACCUUGGACCAGCAAGGCCAUUGCAAUAAAAGCCGAGGUUGGGAAGAGUGAGGCUCAGAGACCACAGAGAUACUUUGACACAUGGAAAAAGGCAAGACUUCCUUCCCAGGAGAUUUAUCAUUCUUCAAAAAAAUGGGGUUCUCAAAGAUUCAAGGUAUUUGCUAUUCAUGCUAUUCAUGCAAACACACUUGUGCCUUGGUGUUUUAUGGUAAGGAUUCUGGGAACCAUAGUGAAGACCAGAAUCUCCAUUCCUGACACCCGUGUACUGGAAGCCACUCCCCUCGCCCCUCCCAAAUUAAAUCCACUUGGAGCCUCAGAAUGGGACAUUUCUUGGAAUAAGGAUUUCAGCAGACAUAAUUAGAGUAAGGGAGAGAUGACCUCAUCCUGGAGGAGGGUGGACCCUUAGUCCAAUGACAAGUGUCCUUAUGGGAGACAGAAAGGAGAAGACACAUAGACACAGGGGAGAAGGUCCUGUGAAGACAAAGGCAGAAGCUGCAAUGAUGGGUUUACAAGCCAAGGAAUGCCAGGGGUUUCUGGCAUCACAGAAUCUAGGAGAGUAUCUGGAAUGGACUUUUUUUUUUUUCCCAAGGUCAUUGCUUACUUUUAUUUAUUUAGUGAUUUUUAUUUUUUUUCAUUACAGUUGGUUUUCAGUGGUCUGUCAAUUCUCUACUAUACAGCAAAGUGACCCAGUCACACAUACAUAUAUACAUUUUUUAUCACAUUAUCUUCUAUCAUGUUCCAUCACAAGUGAGUAUAUAUAGUUCCUAGUGCUAUACAGCAGGAUCUCAUUGCUUAUCCAUUCCAAAGGCAAUAGUUUGCAUCUGGAAUGGACUUUCAGAGCUUCCAGAAGGAACCAAUCCUGCCAACACCCUGAUUUCAGACAUCUGGCCUCUAGAACUGUUGAGAACUGUUACUUCAAGCCACCCAAUUGUGGUCAUUUGUCACCUAGGCACCUCUAGUAAGUGAAUGAAAUGGAGCAGUGUAAAAAUACAAGGGAAGCCCAGCAGGGCCAUCGGGACCAGGAAGUCGGGGGUCCUCACCCCUCGCCAUCACGUGUGGGUACCCUCUGCUUCUCUUCCUGGCACCUCUCAGCUCCUCUAUCACUCUGCUCUUCCAGCUGCCACCAGCCCGCCACAUUGCCCCUCCAGAGGUCCUCCCUUUGCUUAAGGCUCUGCUGCUGAGCUGUCCUGUGUCUAUCAGUCUGGGGUCUUUCCAUGUCUGUUACAUAUGCUAACCUGCCAACUCUCUCAUUAUAUUAAAAAUGUCCAAGAGAGGUGAGCUGAUGGUUGAGCUCACCACCAUCACCCCCCAAAGGGCAAAGCUUUCACCCCAGGCCAGCUCACAGGCAGCAGACCUUGGCCCUGAUCCUCCAGGCAUGGCCAGGGAGGUGGGCCAGGCAUUCCCAUCAGCACAGGGGGCCCUGGAAGGGCAGGACAGAUGCCUGGAAACAGUCCCAGGUUGGUGGCCCCUUCAAUGCUGAGACUAAACUUCCUGCAGAAUUGAAGAAUAGGCAGUAGGAAGGCGAAAGGGAAGAAGCACUUUUUUUUUUUUUUCCAAUAGAAGAAGGAAAGUGUCAUCAAUAGAAGCUGUUGAAAAGUCCAAAUUGCAACCUUCUUGCCUCCUUUUGAUGAGCUGCCUUGAUGAGCUGUUUAGAAGAGCUCAUUGCUCUGGGUCAGCGUGACAGCUGUUGAUGACAAGGGGUAGGCGGGGAGAGGUUAGGCAGGAGGAAUAUGCGGCCAGGGCCCUGGCCAUGAUGGAUAUGCACCAAGCUUGUGCACCCCAGGUCUUUGCAAAGGGUCCAUGACAAACAGCCCAUGGUGCAUUGGGUGUUUUACUGUAAUUCACUCCCCAAAUGCUUCUGGUGUGCAGCCCUGUGCUGAAGACACUGCCGAGACAUCCUCUCAUUCACUUUCUCCCAAGCUCCAGAGAGUGGAUGUCAGGUUGAGCUUAUGUAGUUCAGGGAUUGCAGAUGUGAACACCCAAAGUCCCAGAACCAGUACGUGAUGGAGUCAGGAUUCAAACUUAGGUCAGAGGAGGCUAGAGACAUGGCUGAGCACAGUGUAUGGUCCUUGGGGGCAUGAAGGAGAGCUAUAAAGGAUGUUAUGAGGAAUCCAGAUCAGAUAAUAGUUUUCUAUGGAGGUUAAAUUUCCCGAGUUUAAUAACUAUACUAUGAAAAUGUAGGAGAAGUUUAAGACUAAUAGGAACAAUGUCCCCAGUGUACUCUUAAAUAGAUGAGGGAGGGGAUGCGUGGAGGGAGAGAGGGAGAGAAUGAGAAAGGGAGAAUAAUAAAGUGAAUGAGACAAAAUGUGGUGAACUAUGGGUUGAUUUGCAUCUCCUAGAAUUUUAUAUAAACGUUAUUAUGUUGAAUGUACUCCUUUUUGCUGGCUUCUCUCAUACAUAAUUUCUUUGAGAGCCAUCCAUGUUGUAGCAGGCAUCCAAAUUCAUUCCUUUUCAUAGCUAAGUAGUAUUUCAUCUAACGGAUAAACCAGUUUGUCUAUUCAUUCCCCUGCUGUUGGACACUGGUUGUUUUCAGUUUUGGGCAGUCAGGAAUCAAGCAGCCAUGAUUUGUGUCCCAGUUCUUUGGGUGGGCAUUGCUUUUGUUUCAACAGAAUGCCUAGAUCAUAUAUAUGGUAGGUGUGUGUUAACUGUUUAAGAAAUUGCCCAACUAUUUUCCAAAGCAGCUGUACCCCCCAGUAGUGCACGAGGCUUCCUGUUUCUCCACAUUCUUUCCUUGGUAUGGACUGACUUGGUAUUGCUGGUCUUUUCCAUUAGAGCCCUUCCAGUGGACCUGUAGUGAUGUCUCCUUGUGGUUUUCACUUGCAUUUUCCUAGUGACCAGUGGUGUUGCUCUUAUCCCCCUGCCAUUCCCUCUCCUGCUUUUCUGGGGGCACUGCGACCUUCUGGGGCAAGACCUCAGGGACUUGCCCCUACAGCCCAGAGGUGAACAGUCACGUCCCGAACAGAAAGCAUGCAAGUGGAUGGGCCCAGGAUGAAGACUGGAGGGCCACAUAAGAGCCUGGGGUGCUUUCAGGCCAAGGUAUUUGUCCCAUGGCUCUGACGAGCAGAACCCACCCUUCAGAUGGGGCACCCACCUGCUCAGCAGCCCAUGCUCGAGCUUUUCCACAGGCAGGCAGUCAGUACACAGCAUGCUUCAGGUCCUAACCCUCAGAUGUGAUGUGUUUGCUCAACAACCCUUAAGUUCCUCCCCUGUGUUCAGUUCUGUGACCAGUAUAAGCCUUUGAUGGGUUUUGGUUAUUGGCAAUUAUCAGAGUAAAGUGAAAACUCUCAAGGAUAAUCUGCAAGGCCUUUCUUGAUCAAGUUCCUAAAUUUGGUCUUUCCUACCACAUCCUUCCACAUCCCUCCAGCCUACGCUCCACAUCUAACAAACACCCCAGUGUCCCAGACUUGCCAGCUCCUUCCUGCCUCCCUGCCUUAACCUUCCCUCCUGCUUCUCCCUCCCUUGGCCAGUGGAGACCUUCUCAGCCUGUCACAGCACCAAGCGUCCCUUGUGCCUCUCCUCAACCUCAAAGGAUGGUUUUUUCAGGACCAGCAUGGUCUCAACUGGAUCCAUGUACAGUUUAUGCGGGUCACGGGGAGUGGGGAGGGGGCUGUGAGCCGAAAGGCUGGAUGCUGUUACACACCCACUGCAGCACACAGAGGUUCCUCGUCAGCUGGGCCCGGCUGAAUUGAGUGCAUUUCUGCACCAUGCCUUCCCCCCCUGAUCGUGGGGACUGGGAUGACUCCCCACCGCCACCACUCCCACAUGUGGCUCACAAGUCACUCCAAUUGCCGGAGGUGGCACUCGCCAUGUUCUGAAAAGCUAAGUGCCUUCGCCCCCUUCGCCACCCUUACCUGGAACAGCCAUUUUUGUUGUGUGAACACAUGGCCCGGGAACUUAAACACUAAAACCAGUUAGUUCCUCAGGGGGCGUCAUCUUAACCAUGCCAAACUCAACAAGAUAUAAACUGGUCCUAGAAGCCUUCUCUUCCUCCUUCCUUCAUUUUUUUUUUUUUCUUUUUCUUGUUCCAGCAGCACUUAUCCAUCUGUGCUUCCACCACAGAGCUAUUCCCACUAGAAAUGCCGUGAAACCUUUCAAAUAAAAUAUUUAACGUGUGGAUCCAGUAAUUUUAUGUUGUGAGUUAUGAAACCUUUAUUCAGGUCCCACCUUUUAUUAAACUUCAGGGUUCGCCUUUGGUCUCUAAUGACAUUAUGUUGCAUCAGAAUUAGACAGUUUUUUACAGGGGUUUGUAUUAUUUGUUGUGACUCGGUAAUGCUAAUGUUUAAAUUUUGAGUCCUUUUACUGCUGAUUAAACCUCUAAAGACUACAGCAGAAUUUCCGCUUCGCUGCUAGAAGAAAAGAAAACAGCGCGGUUUGUUCUGAGGAGAUCACUUGAAGAAUGUGCGGGAAGGUGGCUGCAUUUAUGAAUAAAGCGAGGCAUUAUCAUUUUUAAUAGGAAUUAAACAGCUAGAGGGAGAAGUCGGGCAAUGCUGUGAUCAGUGCAAAGGAAAACAAUCUAACAAUUUUAAUUAACUGUAUUUUAAUAGCUUUAGUUAUAAUUGAAUAAUUUAAAUACCAAGGGAAACAGUUAAAUCUCCUAAAAGCCUUUUUUUAUUUACAUUUUAAAUACAGUUCACGGUGAAGAGAUGACAGUACAAGUGCUGGGAGCAAAUCACCGGGUCGACUCCAGCAGCCGGGCAAGCCCACGAGAGGUAGGAUGGAGCCCGAGUGAUCCCGGGCCGGGGACUGGCGUGCCUCGCUGCCUCGGCCGAGAUGGGCCCCAGAAAGAACCCAGGGCAGCAGUGGGCAGUGAGGACUUCCCAUCCCGCCCAGGGCCUACAGCUCGUCUGACGUCAAAGCUCAAAGCCCCCAGGCCAGUGGGGCCUGGAGUGACUCUUGCUAUUCAUUCAACGUUCAAGCGAUAUUUAUUGCAGGCCUACAGUAACAACCACCACGGCAGUAAUAAAACAGUAGAAGUAACAGCUGACAC
RNAcentral lists this long non-coding RNA (6190 nucleotides) under Sus scrofa (pig). Its description in RNAcentral is "lncRNA (ENSSSCG00050052935.1)". The record is from RNAcentral. Lineage: Eukaryota; Metazoa; Chordata; Mammalia; Artiodactyla; Suidae.